RNAcentral lists this ribosomal RNA (253 nucleotides) under uncultured bacterium. Its description in RNAcentral is "partial 16S ribosomal RNA". It matches the Rfam family "Bacterial small subunit ribosomal RNA", at positions 524 to 776 of the family's 1533-position model. The record is from RNAcentral.
UACGUAGGGUGCGAGCGUUAAUCGGAAUUACUGGGCGUAAAGCGUGCGCAGGCGGUUUUGUAAGUCAGGUGUGAAAUCCCCGGGCUCAACCUGGGAAUGGCAUUUGGGACUGCAAGGCUGGAGUGCGGCAGAGGAGACUGGAAUUCCUGGUGUAGCAGUGAAAUGCGUAGAUAUCAGGAGGAAUACCGAUGGCGAAGGCAGGUCUCUGGGCUGACACUGACGCUCAUGCACGAAAGCGUGGGGAGCAAACAGG